This 73-nucleotide transfer RNA is filed under the name Ailuropoda melanoleuca (giant panda). It matches the Rfam family "tRNA". Rfam says of the family: Transfer RNA (tRNA) molecules are approximately 80 nucleotides in length. Their secondary structure includes four short double-helical elements and three loops (D, anti-codon, and T loops). The record is from Rfam by way of RNAcentral. Lineage: Eukaryota; Metazoa; Chordata; Mammalia; Carnivora; Ursidae.
ACAUGGCUGGCUCAGUCAGUAGAGCAUGUGACUUUUGAUCUCAAGAUUGUAGGUUUGAGCCCCACAUUGGGUA